Arabidopsis thaliana (thale cress) is the source of this 216-nucleotide microRNA precursor. It matches the Rfam family "MIR854 microRNA precursor family". NCBI's taxonomy places the organism in Eukaryota, Viridiplantae, Streptophyta, Magnoliopsida, Brassicales, Brassicaceae. The record is from Rfam.
UGGAUGAAGAUAGAGAAGUGGAGUUUGACACUAGGAUGUAUCAUUUUAGUGAACAUGUACCUCCAGCGAGGGAGAGCAAGAGCUUGAGUGAAGCUCACAGGAACAACAACAAGCUGCAGAAGUGGUGCAAGAAACAAGACAAGUUACUCGCCAAGUGCUUCAAGACCAUCAGUUUCUGACAGAUAAGCUGAGUUGUUCCCUCAAACUUCAAUUCCU